AAAAGAACAACGCAUAAAAACCAACAUUCCCAAUAAAAGCAUUCCUACGAGGUCCGUCUCUCUUUAUGGGAGUUGUUGAUCCAUGAUGUACGGAAAUCGUCAGUCGGAAUGGAGAACGAUAUGUACGGGCUGAUCUUGGGUGCAGCGUCUACCUCGUCGCCUUUCAGUGACUGUGGUGGGUGGUGCAAUGAUCGGCUGGACAA
Molecule: small RNA, 203 nt
Filed under: Phaeomoniella chlamydospora
Lineage: Eukaryota; Fungi; Ascomycota; Eurotiomycetes; Phaeomoniellales; Phaeomoniellaceae
Description: A. fumigatus sRNA Afu_182
Rfam family: A. fumigatus sRNA Afu_182
Source: Rfam by way of RNAcentral